AAUUGUAAGAGUUUGAUCCUGGCUCAGAAUGAACGUUAAUAGUCAACAUAACACAUGCUAGUUUAAUAUAUUUUAAAAAUUUAAAAUAUAUAGCGAACGGGUGAGUAUUCAUAUAAAAAUAAAUCUUAAAAAUAUUGUUAAAUACAUAAAAUUAAAUUAUUUUAAGAAAAGUUUAUAAAGGAUUAAGUAGUUGGUAUUUUAAAAGAUUACCAAGCUUAUGAUCCUUAGCUGGUCUGUGAGGAUGAACAGCCACAUUGGAACUGAGAAAGGUCCAAACUUUAUAUUAAAGGCAGCAGUGAGGAAUAUUGGGCAAUGAGCAAACGCUUGACCCAGUUAGACUAUAUGUGUGAAGAAAGUAUCUUAUUGUAAAUCACUAAAACUAUUUUUAAAUUAUGAUUAUUUUAGUAAAAGUCCUGGCUAAUUUCGUGCCAGCAGCCGCGGUAAAACGAGAAGGAUAAACGUUAUUCGGAUUAAUUGGGCGUAAAGUAUACGUAGAUAGUAAAUUUAAUUUUAUGUAUAAAAAUUAAAAUUAAAUUUUAAUUUUACUUUAAAAUUGAUUUUCUAGAGUUUAAUAGAAGAUUAUAGAACUUUAAGUGUAACAGUAAAAUGUUUUGAUAUUUAAAAGAAUUCCUAUCGCGAAAGCAGUAAUCUAUAUUAAUACUGACAUUAAAGUAUUAAAGUGUGGGGAGCAAAAGGGAUUAGAUACCCCUGUAGUCCACACCCUGAACUAUGAGUGUUUAUUUUUGGGGCAUAUACCCGAAAAUAGAGUUAACACGUUAAACACUCCGCCUGGGAACUACGAUUGCAAAAUUAAAACUCAAAGGAAUUGACGGGAACCUACACAAGCAGUGGAGCAUGUGGUUUAAAUCGACAAUACGCGAAAAACCUUACCAAUUUUUGAAUAAUUAAUACAAUUACAGGCGUUGCAUGGCUGUCGUCAGUCCGUGCUGUGAAGCGUUUGGUUUAUUCCAAAAAACGGACAAAACUCUUCUACAUUUUUUAAUGUAUACUGCUAAAGACAUUUUAGAGGAAGUAAAGAAUGAUGUCAAGUCCUCAUGACCCUGAUAAAUUGGGCUACUUUCAUGUGCUACAAUGGUUUUUUCAAAAGGAUGUAUAUAUGAAAGUAAUUACAAAUCUUUAAAAUAAAAUCAUGUUCGAAUUAUUUUCUGCAACUUGAAAAUAUGAAGAUGGAAUUGCUAGUAAUCGUGGAUUAGAAUGCCACGGUGAAUAUGUACUUAGGUUUUGUACACACCGCCCGUCACGCUAUGGAAAUUUUUAUUAUUUGAAAAUUUUUAAUAAAUUUAUGGUAAUAAAAAAACUGGAGUGAAGUCGUAACAAGGUAGCCGUAGGGGAACCUGUGGCUGGAAAAUAUUUCAA
This 1377-nucleotide non-coding RNA is filed under the name Hypnea cervicornis. Its description in RNAcentral is "SSU rRNA". It matches the Rfam family "Bacterial small subunit ribosomal RNA". Lineage: Eukaryota; Rhodophyta; Florideophyceae; Gigartinales; Hypneaceae. The record is from RNAcentral.